GGGUUGUGAGGUUAAGCGACUAAGCGUACACGGUGGAUGCCCUGGCAGUCAGAGGCGAUGAAGGACGUGCUAAUCUGCGAAAAGCGUCGGUAAGGUGAUAUGAACCGUUAUAACCGGCGAUGUCCGAAUGGGGAAACCCAGUGUGAUUCGUCACACUAUCGUUAACUGAAUACAUAGGUUAACGAGGCGAACCGGGGGAACUGAAACAUCUAAGUACCCCGAGGAAAAGAAAUCAACCGAGAUUCCCCCAGUAGCGGCGAGCGAACGGGGAGCAGCCCAGAGUCUGAAUCAGCUUGUGUGUUAGUGGAACGGUCUGGAAAGUCCGACGGUACAGGGUGAUAGUCCCGUACACCAAAAUGCACAGGUUGUGAACUCGAAGAGUAGGGCGGGACACGUGGUAUCCUGUCUGAAUAUGGGGGGACCAUCCUCCAAGGCUAAAUACUCCUGACUGACCGAUAGUGAACCAGUACCGUGAGGGAAAGGCGAAAAGAACCCCGGCGAGGGGAGUGAAAAAGAACCUGAAACCGUGUACGUACAAGCAGUGGGAGCACCUUCGGGUGUGACUGCGUACCUUUUGUAUAAUGGGUCAGCGACUUAUAUUCUGUAGCAAGGUUAACCGUAUAGGGGAGCCGCAGGGAAACCGAGUCUUAACUGGGCGUUAAGUUGCAGGGUAUAGACCCGAAACCCGGUGAUCUAGCCAUGGGCAGGUUGAAGGUUGGGUAACACUAACUGGAGGACCGAACCGACUAAUGUUGAAAAAUUAGCGGAUGACUUGUGGCUGGGGGUGAAAGGCCAAUCAAACCGGGAGAUAGCUGGUUCUCCCCGAAAGCUAUUUAGGUAGCGCCUCGUGAACUCAUCUUCGGGGUAGAGCACUGUUUCGGCUAGGGGGUCAUCCCGACUUACCAACCCGAUGCAAACUACGAAUACCGAAGAAUGUUAUCACGGGAGACACACGGCGGGUGCUAACGUCCGUCGUGAAGAGGGAAACAACCCAGACCGCCAGCUAAGGUCCCAAAGUCAUGGUUAAGUGGGAAACGAUGUGGGAAGGCACAGACAGCCAGGAUGUUGGCUUAGAAGCAGCCAUCAUUUAAAGAAAGCGUAAUAGCUCACUGGUCGAGUCGGCCUGCGCGGAAGAUGUAACGGGGCUAAACCAUGCACCGAAGCUGCGGCAGCGACACUAUGUGUUGUUGGGUAGGGGAGCGUUCUGUAAGCCUGCGAAGGUGUGCUGUGAGGCAUGCUGGAGGUAUCAGAAGUGCGAAUGCUGACAUAAGUAACGAUAAAGCGGGUGAAAAGCCCGCUCGCCGGAAGACCAAGGGUUCCUGUCCAACGUUAAUCGGGGCAGGGUGAGUCGACCCCUAAGGCGAGGCCGAAAGGCGUAGUCGAUGGGAAACAGGUUAAUAUUCCUGUACUUGGUGUUACUGCGAAGGGGGGACGGAGAAGGCUAUGUUAGCCGGGCGACGGUUGUCCCGGUUUAAGCAUGUAGGCUGAUUGUCCAGGCAAAUCCGGAUAAUCAAGGCUGAGGUGUGAUGACGAGGCACUACGGUGCUGAAGUAACAAAUGCCCUGCUUCCAGGAAAAGCCUCUAAGCAUCAGGUAACAUCAAAUCGUACCCCAAACCGACACAGGUGGUCAGGUAGAGAAUACCAAGGCGCUUGAGAGAACUCGGGUGAAGGAACUAGGCAAAAUGGUGCCGUAACUUCGGGAGAAGGCACGCUGGUGUGUAGGUGAAGUCCCUGCGGAUGGAGCUGAGACCAGUCGAAGAUACCAGCUGGCUGCAACUGUUUAUUAAAAACACAGCACUGUGCAAACACGAAAGUGGACGUAUACGGUGUGACGCCUGCCCGGUGCCGGAAGGUUAAUUGAUGGGGUUAUCCGUAAGGAGAAGCUCUUGAUCGAAGCCCCGGUAAACGGCGGCCGUAACUAUAACGGUCCUAAGGUAGCGAAAUUCCUUGUCGGGUAAGUUCCGACCUGCACGAAUGGCGUAAUGAUGGCCAGGCUGUCUCCACCCGAGACUCAGUGAAAUUGAACUCGCUGUGAAGAUGCAGUGUACCCGCGGCAAGACGGAAAGACCCCGUGAACCUUUACUAUAGCUUGACACUGAACAUUGAGCCUUGAUGUGUAGGAUAGGUGGGAGGCUUUGAAGCGUGGACGCCAGUCUGCGUGGAGCCAACCUUGAAAUACCACCCUUUAAUGUUUGAUGUUCUAACGUUGGCCCCUUACCGGGGUUGCGGACAGUGUCUGGUGGGUAGUUUGACUGGGGCGGUCUCCUCCCAAAGCGUAACGGAGGAGCACGAAGGUUAGCUAAUCCUGGUCGGACAUCAGGAGGUUAGUGCAAUGGCAUAAGCUAGCUUGACUGCGAGCGUGACGGCGCGAGCAGGUGCGAAAGCAGGUCAUAGUGAUCCGGUGGUUCUGAAUGGAAGGGCCAUCGCUCAACGGAUAAAAGGUACUCCGGGGAUAACAGGCUGAUACCGCCCAAGAGUUCAUAUCGACGGCGGUGUUUGGCACCUCGAUGUCGGCUCAUCACAUCCUGGGGCUGAAGUAGGUCCCAAGGGUAUGGCUGUUCGCCAUUUAAAGUGGUACGCGAGCUGGGUUUAGAACGUCGUGAGACAGUUCGGUCCCUAUCUGCCGUGGGCGCUGGAGAAUUGAGGGGGGCUGCUCCUAGUACGAGAGGACCGGAGUGGACGCAUCACUGGUGUUCGGGUUGUCAUGCCAAUGGCACUGCCCGGUAGCUAAAUGCGGAAGAGAUAAGUGCUGAAAGCAUCUAAGCACGAAACUUGCCCCGAGAUGAGUUCUCCCUGAGACUUUAAGUCUCCUGAAGGAACGUUGAAGACGACGACGUUGAUAGGCCGGGUGUGUAAGCGCAGCGAUGCGUUGAGCUAACCGGUACUAAUGAACCGUGAGGCUUAACCUUACAACGCCGAAG
This 2922-nucleotide ribosomal RNA is filed under the name Klebsiella pneumoniae. RNAcentral's name for it is "bacterial LSU rRNA". It matches the Rfam family "Bacterial large subunit ribosomal RNA". Lineage: Bacteria; Pseudomonadati; Pseudomonadota; Gammaproteobacteria; Enterobacterales; Enterobacteriaceae. The record is from RNAcentral.